Molecule: long non-coding RNA, 574 nt
Organism: Cercocebus atys (sooty mangabey)
Lineage: Eukaryota; Metazoa; Chordata; Mammalia; Primates; Cercopithecidae
Exons: 4
Source: RefSeq, a predicted model, not a curated record
AACAGUUCUGCUUCUGCGAGCCAGGUGGAGAAGAGAGGGUUGGAAGUGAACACUACCAGAUAAGUAGUGUUGGAAGUGAGCAUUUCUAGGUGCAGACAAGGCAUUUGUGGCAUAGAAGAUUACGCUCUUCUUCUUGCCAUGUCUUAAGAUUAUACUUUAUAAUGAUUUAUCUUAGUCCAGGUGCAGUGCCUUACAUCUGCAAUCCCAGCACUUUGGAAGGCUAAGCUGGGAAAAUUGCUUGAGGCUGGCAGUUUGAGACCUCUUCCACUUUUAAGGGACCUUGUGAUUAUAGCUGGUCCACCUGGAUAUUCCAAGAUACUCUCCCUAUUUUAAAGAGAAAAAUAUGAAAUCUGAGGUACAGUUGAUUUGAAUCCAAGAAAUCUAAAGGAAAAAGUUCAAGCUCUUAAUUCUUUCAUACCUUCCUUGUUGUUAAAACUUUUUUUAAAAAGUUAAUCUUGUCUAUGAAGCAUGAAUCUAUAAUACUAGGGAAAAAACUGACUAACUUGAAGAAAAAAUAAAUUGAAAUGGAAAGCAAUUAAUUCCUCUUAAUAUGAAUAAAGGACGAUCUAAAUGC